Ictalurus punctatus (channel catfish) is the source of this 1340-nucleotide long non-coding RNA. The record is from Ensembl. Lineage: Eukaryota; Metazoa; Chordata; Actinopteri; Siluriformes; Ictaluridae.
GUCCGACAUGUCCGAGUAAACGCCGAGCGUGACGUCUGUGGGUAAAUCUCGCCGUUAUACCACAGCGCUGUCGAAUUCUGGACUGCGAUUGGGCAGGAGGUGUUGAUGAAUUCUCUAGCGCACACGCUCUAAUACGUUAUGGUUUCUAUAGUAACCAUUGUAUCGCUGCUGUGACAUAGGUGAAAACGGGAACUUGAAUAACGUGCCACGUAACUAUAACCCUUUAACAACAACCCUUUUAAAAACUAAAAACAAUAAAUAACUAAAACUAAAAGUAAACACGCAGUACGGCAGAACAGAAAGAGAAAGGAGCUGCGGUGUCGUAUGUCAGAGCAUCACGCGCGUUCCUCAAGCGGUUAAUCCCAAACACGCUACAUGCUAGACAAGAUGCCAGUCGCAGUCACCUGAAGAUCAUCUGCGUACAUAAACCCCGGCUGAGUUCCCUUAGCGCUGAACGUUCAAGUCGAAGAAAAACGCUUACCGUUUCGUUAUAUCCGUUGGAAGUGGGCGGGGCUUAAACUGUGGCUUCUGGAGUGGAGUCGGCGCGGUGGAGAAAUCCUCGGUCAGUUCUUUGAUUCGCUGUUUCACUCCGACACCGCCAUCAGUUUUCUGCGAUGGGUGGCACUGGAGAACGAGGCUCGGCACCUCGCGUGACGGGAACCGAAACCGCGGACGAAGACGAGUCCAUAAGGAGACUAAUCCUCCGCUUUAUACCACUUCCUGCUCUUUCUAAAGGUCCCAUACUUGUUCUUCGUACCACGCCUGCUGUCUCAGUCGGCUUGAGUUUACCAGGAUCAUUAGGAGGAGGAGAAGGUUCUGAUGUAAGUGUUGGAGUGUCUGGUGUGCUGUCUGGCCCAGAAGUUGAUGUAGUUCUUGACUUGGGUUUGCCUGGUGGCUCUGGUUUGGUCAGCGACUCCGGUUUGGGUUUGGGCUGAGGUUUGGGAGCAACAAUGGGUCGUAUCGUGGUAUUUCUCUGCACAGCAAAAGGUUUUGGGGUGAGUCUCGGUUUGGGGCCUGGGACUGGUUUCUUGGGGUCUGAACCGAUGAUGGAUGAAUCCUCCAUGAGGGUUUUAUUACUCGAGUCAGUCAGAGGACUCAAACGCAGACGGCCGCUCAUCAUUCCAGGCUCGAGCUCCACUUGGGUCGCCAUCACUGCACCUGAGAGACAAGAGGAACACGUCAGACGUAUGACAGACCUCGGUUCUAAGGGAUCUUGACCCGGUUCGAGCCGAGUCCAUAAAGCGACACGUCAAUCGAUUAUCAGUAAAGAACGGUUUAUUCGAUACUACGCCGAGGUCGUCGCGUUCAUCACGACGCACGUCGUCUACCCGGCUUCCAGU